UACGUAGGGGGCAAGCGUUAUCCGGAUUUACUGGGUGUAAAGGGAGCGUAGACGGUUAUGCAAGUCAGAAGUGAAAGCCCAAAGCUCAACUUCGGGACUGCUUUUGAAACUGUGUAACUAGAGUGCAGGAGGGGUAAGCGGAAUUCCUAGUGUAGCGGUGAAAUGCGUAGAUAUUAGGAGGAACACCGGCGGCGAAGGCGGCUUACUGGACUGUAACUGACGUUGAGGCACGAAAGUGUGGGGAGCAAACAGG
This 253-nucleotide ribosomal RNA is filed under the name uncultured bacterium. RNAcentral describes it as "partial 16S ribosomal RNA". It matches the Rfam family "Bacterial small subunit ribosomal RNA", at positions 524 to 776 of the family's 1533-position model. The record is from RNAcentral.